Long non-coding RNA from Anguilla anguilla (European eel), 773 nucleotides. RefSeq lists it as uncharacterized. The transcript has 3 exons. The record is from RefSeq and is a predicted model, not a curated record. Lineage: Eukaryota; Metazoa; Chordata; Actinopteri; Anguilliformes; Anguillidae.
AGUACAGGGCUGUUUUGAGUGCUGUGAAGUACAGGCUCGGGCUUCCUGUGCAGAAGUGCCCACCUGUCCCGCUGUUUUAACACGGUGUAUUGGAAAUAAAAGCCGACGACCGUCUUCAAAAAGCCGCAGAGGAGAUUACGCAGACGGGUUCUGAAGACGCUGCGGUCGCAUCGAUCGUUCUGUGGCGGCCCCGCGAGAUGCCGACGGAAAGCCGGCGUGAUGCCGUCUCGUAUUAAAGUAGGUUAAAACAAAUCAAUAUCCCAAGAGGCAAUCAGAAAAAAAAACAGCGGACGCUUCAGUUACCGCACUCCUGCAAUCCGACCUCUUCAGCGUCUGUCUCUAAUACCGCGGAGCGAGCGAGCGCCGCGCGUAACCAUGGCACCGAACGUUUGUCUCAUUGCCAAGUGUGUUCCUCUCACUUCGGUAUGUCCCCUGUAGGGAAUAUGGUGCUCUACAGGGACGGGAUGUGCCGAAACCUGGCCCACACAGCGGUUGACAUCAUAAACAACAGAGCAAAGCGCAAGAUCGAUGCUCCUGAAGUAGAGGGCCAUCUGCGGGCCCUCCCUGGAAUUACAAACCUAUGAGAAAUGGAUCAUCAGUCUGGGGCCACCAAUCAGAACCAAGGUAAGAACCUGACUGCGGAGGGACUGAAGGCCACAGGACAGGGUAACUGACCCGUGAAGACGCCCCUCGACUGGGGCAACAACCAAGCGCAGCAUCAGGGUUGGUAGUCAGAGAGUUUUUUUCUACCCGUCCUUUUUUCAUGUGUGUAA